RNAcentral lists this transfer RNA (60 nucleotides) under Ictidomys tridecemlineatus (thirteen-lined ground squirrel). RNAcentral's name for it is "Spermophilus tridecemlineatus (thirteen-lined ground squirrel) tRNA". It matches the Rfam family "tRNA", at positions 5 to 66 of the family's 71-position model. From Rfam's summary of the family: Transfer RNA (tRNA) molecules are approximately 80 nucleotides in length. Their secondary structure includes four short double-helical elements and three loops (D, anti-codon, and T loops). Lineage: Eukaryota; Metazoa; Chordata; Mammalia; Rodentia; Sciuridae. The record is from Rfam by way of RNAcentral.
AUGUAGCUCAGUGGCAGAGCACUUGCCUAGCAUGCAGUCCCUGGGUUCAAUCCCCAGUAU